RNAcentral lists this ribosomal RNA (465 nucleotides) under Vreelandella stevensii. Its description in RNAcentral is "partial 16S ribosomal RNA". It matches the Rfam family "Bacterial small subunit ribosomal RNA", at positions 338 to 795 of the family's 1533-position model. Lineage: Bacteria; Pseudomonadati; Pseudomonadota; Gammaproteobacteria; Oceanospirillales; Halomonadaceae. The record is from RNAcentral.
CCUACGGGUGGCAGCAGUGGGGAAUAUUGGACAAUGGGGGGAACCCUGAUCCAGCCAUGCCGCGUGUGUGAAGAAGGCCCUCGGGUUGUAAAGCACUUUCAGUGAGGAAGAACGCCUGGUGGUUAAUACCCAUCAGGAAAGACAUCACUCACAGAAGAAGCACCGGCUAACUCCGUGCCAGCAGCCGCGGUAAUACGGAGGGUGCGAGCGUUAAUCGGAAUUACUGGGCGUAAAGUGCGCGUAGGUGGCUUGAUAAGCCGGUUGUGAAAGCCCCGGGCUCAACCUGGGAACGGCAUCCGGAACUGUCAAGCUAGAGUGCAGGAGAGGAAGGUAGAAUUCCCGGUGUAGCGGUGAAAUGCGUAGAGAUCGGGAGGAAUACCAGUGGCGAAGGCGGCCUUCUGGACUGACACUGACACUGAGGUGCGAAAGCGUGGGUAGCAAACAGGAUUAGAUACCCCAGUAGUC